This 566-nucleotide long non-coding RNA is filed under the name Rattus norvegicus (Norway rat). Its description in RNAcentral is "long non-coding RNA NONRATT017383". Lineage: Eukaryota; Metazoa; Chordata; Mammalia; Rodentia; Muridae. The record is from RNAcentral.
UUGUCUUUUUUCGUUUUUUUAAUUCUCUAAUUUUAUUUUAUUUUUUGGUAGUGUUGGGAUCAAAUUUAGGUCUUACCCAGGCUAUACAGAGCCAAUUCCUCAGCCCCCUCCACUGUGAAGGCAGCUCAAAUUCCACUCCAUUUGGGCAUCCUGUUUUAUUAGGUAAACUGAGGUACAACCUAAAAACAAUUGGGACUGGUCCCACUCUGACACCCCUAUUUCUAGCUAUGCUCAUUGCCAAGUGGCUGCCCACAGUUGAGCCUUUGCAAGUCCAAGGGUCAGAGCUCUCGGUAGCCCAAUACCCUGAGCUUCUAACCCCUCCCAGCUCUCCGGCCCACGGCCACUUUGAGAACUACCUUCCUCCUUUUUAUAGAACAUCUCUGUCUCUGCCUCUAUUCAUGCAUUCCAGCUUCACUCUUUGCUGCUGGACACAAGUAUCUGGGAAUUCCAAUAGGGUGCUCACACUUGUAUCAACGACUACAGAAUAAGGUACAAGGAGAAAGGAUCAAAAAGUCUAUGAGCCCUUUGUGAGAGGACCAUGCUGGUCCCUGCCUCCAGGAAAGAAG